RNAcentral lists this long non-coding RNA (477 nucleotides) under Anser brachyrhynchus (Pink-footed goose). Its description in RNAcentral is "lncRNA (ENSABRG00000007464.1)". Lineage: Eukaryota; Metazoa; Chordata; Aves; Anseriformes; Anatidae. The record is from RNAcentral.
UAAUUCCAACAACAAACUUCCACCUGCUGUCAAGAAUGAUUAUGGAUCGGAGGGGUGCAUGAGAAGGCCCAAACACCCCCUGGACCUCCUGGGACUUCUUGAAGCCAGAUUCUGCAAGUGCAAAUUAUCUGGGUUAGAGUCAACGACAGCGUGAGCUCUGGGAAAGAUUCAGGCCUCUUGCAGCGAUGAUGAAUAAAGCCUACCAAAAACUACUGCUUCCAGUAGGGCAAGAAGGCUCCUGUGAACAUUGGAAGUUGUAACUCUAAAUCUGCUAAAUAGUACCUAAGCGUCCUCUUCACAUGCACACAGGUAUGAAUUCGUAACUGGCCAGGGGCUCGAGUCUGUCCCAAUACUACCACAGUCAACAACCACUCCACUUCCCAGCCUCGGAAAGGUAAGCAACAGCUUCCAAGCUACCACUGUGAUUGCUACACGCAGAUUGCUAGGGAGAAGUGGUGGCCAAACAGCUGAUAUACG